RNAcentral lists this ribosomal RNA (253 nucleotides) under uncultured bacterium. Its description in RNAcentral is "partial 16S ribosomal RNA". It matches the Rfam family "Bacterial small subunit ribosomal RNA", at positions 524 to 776 of the family's 1533-position model. The record is from RNAcentral.
UACGGGGGGAGCAAGCGUUGUUCGGAUUUACUGGGCGUAAAGGGCGCGUAGGCGGCGUGACAAGUCACUUGUGAAAUCUCCAGGCUUAACUCGGAACGGUCAAGUGAUACUGUCGUGCUAGAGUACAGAAGGGGCAACUGGAAUUCUCGGUGUAGCGGUGAAAUGCGUAGAUAUCGAGAGGAACACCUGCGGCGAAGGCGGGUUGCUGGGCUGAUACUGACGCUGAUGCGCGAAAGCUAGGGGAGCAAACGGG